GGCGAACGCUGGCGGCGUGCUUAACACAUGCAAGUCGAACGGAAAGGCCCUGCUUUUGUGGGGUGCUCGAGUGGCGAACGGGUGAGUAACACGUGAGUAACCUGCCCUUGACUUUGGGAUAACUUCAGGAAACUGGGGCUAAUACCGGAUAGGAGCUCCUGCUGCAUGGUGGGGGUUGGAAAGUUUCGGCGGUUGGGGAUGGACUCGCGGCUUAUCAGCUUGUUGGUGGGGUAGUGGCUUACCAAGGCUUUGACGGGUAGCCGGCCUGAGAGGGUGACCGGCCACAUUGGGACUGGGAUACGGCCAAGACUCCUACGGGAGGCAGCAGUGGGGAAUAUUGCACAAUGGGCGGAAGCCUGAUGCAGCAACGCCGCGUGCGGGAUGACGGCCUUCGGGUUGUAAACCGCUUUCGCCUGUGACGAAGCGUGAGUGACGGUAAUGGGUAAAGAAGCACCGGCUAACUACGUG
This 468-nucleotide ribosomal RNA is filed under the name uncultured bacterium. Its description in RNAcentral is "partial 16S ribosomal RNA". It matches the Rfam family "Bacterial small subunit ribosomal RNA", at positions 28 to 507 of the family's 1533-position model. The record is from RNAcentral.